GGGGACUUCAGUAAAGCUGAAAGGAUUUUAGGCUACAUGAAUAAGAAGGGCUAUCCUGCCAAUGUGAUAUCACACACUGCUCUGAUGGAGGCAUAUGGAAAAGGAGGUCAGUAUGCCAAGGCAGAAGCGAUAUUUCGGAGAAUGCAAACUUCAGGCCCUGAGCCUUCUGCUAUUACAUACCAAAUCAUUCUCAAAAUCUUUGUUGAGGGUGACAAGUUUAAUGAAGCUCAAGAUGUCUUUGAAGCCCUUAUGGAUAUGGAUGCACCUCCUCUAAA
RNAcentral lists this unclassified non-coding RNA (275 nucleotides) under Hevea brasiliensis (rubber tree). Lineage: Eukaryota; Viridiplantae; Streptophyta; Magnoliopsida; Malpighiales; Euphorbiaceae. The record is from RNAcentral.